This 1973-nucleotide ribosomal RNA is filed under the name Triticum aestivum (bread wheat). Its description in RNAcentral is "partial small subunit ribosomal RNA". The record is from RNAcentral. Lineage: Eukaryota; Viridiplantae; Streptophyta; Magnoliopsida; Poales; Poaceae.
GGGGUUUGUCCCAUCACCGCCGCCACUCCACCAAAUCCCUCUCGGGAUCCAUCCCCUCCUCGAUUUCACACCAGCCAACCAAAACCAAUCCCUCCCGAUCCACCCAUUCCACUAGCAACCAGAGGAGCCCGAGCCAUCCUGCAGCUGCCUCCUCCAAUCAUGGCGCCACCAGCCAUGGAAGUCCACCACCGAGCCGCCCCGUGCCGUCCUAGAGCCUCCUUCUCUGUUGACCGUGCCCAUCACCGCCAAGUCACGGUCAUGUUCCCGCCGUCCGCUGCCCUGUUCGAGUGCCCGCGUGGACCUGCGCCGCCAAGCUCCUCCCAUGGCCGCCUCCACCCGAGAGUCACCAGCAGGACCCCGUCAAGCCGUGCUUGUGCUCCUGUCGCCCCUGUCCAGGAGCUCCACGAGGAGAGGAGCUCCUCUUCGUCGCCCCAAGAAGCAGCCGCGCCCGAGCGCUCCUCUCCACGCCAGCGUUGUACUACUCGGGGACCGGCUCCCCUCAUCGGAUCCGGCCUUAUCCCGUCCUCUCCUCCCGGCAUCUCUCUCUGAUUCCUUCCCCUGCUCCCUCAUUGAAUUGCUCUCUCUGUUCUUUUCUUCAGGCAACGGCAACUACCACUACUCCCCAUGGAGCUCCGCCAUCGACCGGCUCUAGCGCCGACCCACCAGAUCUGGCCUCCCCUCGCCUUCUCCGCGUCGCUGCCCAAGCCGCUUGUGUCCUCUGCUUCCAGGACGAGCAGAGCAGCUCGCCCGACCCCUCGCCCGUUGACCGAUCGACCUGGGCUCCCAGAUCCAGCCGGCCCAGCGCUGCCGCACCAAGCCCAGCCAGCCGACCUGCUACCUCUUCCACCGAGCCGGGCUUUGGCCCAUGUGAGCAGUUUCCCCAGCCCAGUAGUGUUUUUUUAGGUUCAGCAAUUUUGUCUAUUUUUCCAGGGAAUUCCAGUUUUGCAGAUCAGCCCCAAAACUUCAUGCAUAUAAUAACUUAAAAACCGUGCAUCGAAUUAAAACAAAUUAUAUAUGAAACUUGCUUAAAAUUGUGUGUAUAUUAAUAUUUUGCAACUUUCAUCUAUGUUUGAAAUGUUUAAAAUGUCGUUUGGUUAAAUUUGCUCCCAUGCCAUGUUAAAAUGAUUUAUUUCAUAACUACUUAACCGUAGCUCGGUUUUAAAUAAACUUUAUAUGUAAAUGGGGUGGAAAAAUUCCUAGUUUAACAUGGUGACAUUGAUUUGCAUGUUUAACAACUAUAAAAAUUGUGUUAGGGCAGAAAAGUGCCAAACCUUAAAACAUGCACAUGAGGAGUUUCCGGACUUGUUGUUUGUUGUUCCGGCCUCAUUUAAACUUGCCUAGAUUGGUAGUUUUCAUUUGCUUCACCCCUUGCCAUGUUAAUCAACAUUUAAUAUUGUUGGGUACAUAAAUGGGAGAGAACUAAAUAAGUCAUGUGGUGUUUUCGUCAAUAUGCAACUCGUUGCAUAUUGAGAUCCACUUAAUUUGUAGGUUUGUUUGUGCAUUUUGCCAUGCCAUGUAUUUUUAAACCGGACAUGCAUCAUACUUGUUUGCGCAUCAUGCCAUGCUUAUAUUAUGAUUGUUUACUAUGUUGUUUGCUUUCUUUCCGGUGUACUUCUUCUCGUUGAUCCGGUAACGUUGCGUUUGUCAGGAUAUGUUGGCUACGUCCGUUUGUCUUCUUCAUGGACUUGUUCUUCUUCCUUGCGGGAUCUUAGCUUGCAGGUACCGUUGAACCGUGCGGGUGACGCAACCAAGCUCAAGGAGGAGCUCGAUGAAGAUUGUGUUCGCUAUGUUGUUCCGUUCCCAGUUGAUCAGUAGUGGAGCCCAGUUGGGACGAUCGGGGAUCUGUGUAGCAUUUGGGGUAGUCUUCUUUUAUUUUGGGUUCCGUAGUCGGACCUUGUUUGUAUCUGGUUGAUGUAAUGUUAUAUUCAUGUAUUGUGUGAAGUGGCGAUUGUAAGCCAACUAUGUAUCUUUUC